CAGAGUUUGAAAGGCUCUUUAAUAGCAAGCGAAUGGUAAUUACAUGGUCGGAUGAGGUCCUCACUCUCAGGGGAGGGAGGAGGGAGCAGAGGUGGACAGGGUGCAGUAUAGGAUUUACACUGUUUGAAGCAUCUAACGAAGGGCAACAGUUUUUGGCAACCCAAUUCACAGUUUUGUAAUUUACAAGAGAUUUCUUUGAAAGGAAAUAGGAAGGCAAAGAAAGCACACAUACCCUACCGGCAACACUUCUUGCCUAAAAAAAAAAAAAAACAACAACCAAAAAACAAAAACCCAACAACUAUUCCUUGCUUUUGCUUCUUGUGUAGAUGACUAAAUUUUGCUCUCAUGCUCAAAUUAAGACUGGAUCACGGAUAGUGAAGAUCUGCCCUAGCAUUGAAGAUUUACUUCCUCCUCUUCAGAGCUGACAUUUGUACUGCGCACUACUCUUAUCUUUAUCUGCCUAGGUGUCAGAAGGGGCUUAGUAAAAAAUGAAACUUGAGAAACAAAACAAAACAGAAAAACAGGGAAAGGCAGUUUACAAAGAACAGACUGUCAGCUUUCUGUCUGGUAUCAAACAACUUGAAUACAGCUCUAAGUAAAUUAAAACAUUUAUUUUUAUGUGGCCUGGCAUCUACUUUUAAUCGCUUGUGCCUAUUCAGCCUUAUAGUGCUUUAAAUGGGGUUUCUAACAUGAAAUGCUCAUGGGUACUAUAUUUUCGUAAUCCAGAUUUAAAUAAAAAUAUAAAAGACAACAUAUUAUGUUAAAUAAUAUGUUGUCUUUUAUAUUUGCCCAGUGAGCAGAAGCUAUAGAUAUUUUACCAUGGACACCCAUUGCCAUGGACACCACAGGCUACCAGCAUUCUGGCAGGUUUCAGAAUUACUCUCUAUAAAAUCUAAAAGACUUCAGCUUCUUGUGUCAUACCUGUUAUCACUAAACUGGGAGAAGUGACUGGGUCUUUAUGAAAAAGGAUCAGUUUUUAAUUCAAAGAAAUUUUAGGCUUCUCCGAAGACUGGGUGAUCAGCAAUGGCAUCUCUUUGGAGCUAACACCCACUGCAGGGGAGAGGGGUCUGUGAUCGCUUAAGCAUUAAUUGUGCUCUUUCUACAACCUUGAAGCACAGUGAGGAGGUUGGCCCUGCCCUCUGGCCUGAGGGGGCACUCCUGCUUCCUCCCCGCUGCCAAGGACACCCAAGUUUGCUUUGUGAUUUACCUGCCGGGUGCCUGGAGCCCCUCUCAGAUCUGCCUGCAUUUGGGAAAGACAGGCUUCUCAGGCUGGCAGCUGGUUUUACUGAAGGAAAGAGCCCUACCAGAUGAGCAGGGUUCCUGUUGGUCUCCUUGGCUGGGGGGCACUUUUAAAGUGGCAAAGCCAUGCCAACACAAGGCAUUGCCUCUCAACAUACAGUCAGUUCCUUUGAGGAAAGCAGGCCCCCAGUGAGACAGCCGUGAAAAUGAAAACAGUUUUCCUGGGGCUCAGGUGGUAACUGUCAGACCCCAACUCUCCCAUUCUCCCUUAUUCAUCUCCUCCCACCCCAAGUUAAGUCCUGCCUAUUCCUUCAUGCCUCUCUGUAAGAAAUCAGAUCUGUUCAUACCAGUUUCCCAACUUGUGAAUUUUAACAUGCAAAGCCUAUUCCUAAAAUAUAAAUUCCAAUGACACUUGGGACCACAGCUCCCCUAGGUCCAUGUACAUUGUGCUCUUAUGAAACAGAAACAAUAUUCAGAAAUAUAUUGUGCUAGAGACGGUUUCUGUUUAUACAUGAAAGAUGACAGCAACUAUAAAGGAGAGAGGUUUUCGUUGAAGUACACUGGAAAUCUAAUUCUGGCACCAGGACACAAGGAGGAUCCCUACAUAAGAGACUUUUCCAUUGCACCAUGUGCUGCUUUGGGCCUGGGAGACAGGAGUGGACACCUGAGUGCAGGUGAAUCCACAGUGGUGACAGGCACUACACGGGGCCUCACCUCCCUCCCUGGCUCCGUACUUCACUCUGAUUCCUUGACGUCUGCUCGAUAUGGUGAUCAGGCUGCGGAAACCAGGCGGCCAUAAGAACAAUGUCUCUAGGAUUCACUCAAACCCAGGAUCACGGUUUUGUAAUGUUAUCAAGGCAUGAUUUUGGAUUUCAGAGCUGGCCCAGUGAACAACAAGCAAUCAAGCAUUCCUUUCUCUUUCUUUCUCUCUCUCACAUAUACACACACACUCUUUCUCUCUCACGUUACUUUCACUGUCACUUUCUCUCUACUGGAUAACAGGCCAAAAGUACUGGCACUCAUCUUUCACUUUCUUCCAGCUAUUCUUCCUACACAUCUCUCACUCUCAGGUAAGUUAAACAUACACCACUUCCAAAGCCCCAGUCUGCCACAGCACAAAGAAAAGCCAUGUCUCCACAGGCAGAGCAUGUACAGCUGAGAUAAGUCCUCUGGGGCCUCACCUUUCCCUUUCCUCUAAGGAAGAGAAUUUCAUCUGCCCCAUGAGAUCGAGCCCUCAGGGGCUUGGGCACUCACAGAUCAACAUGUUCUAAGGUAGUGCAGGGGUCAGCAUCCUAAAGGCAGCACCUUGGCAAGAUCCCACAUGUAUUUUCUUCUCGAAUCCCUAAAAGUUUCCUUGACUGUUGCUCCUUACUCACACACACACAUAAGGCAGGCACAGAAGGGCAGUGUUUACAGCUGGAAGGGCAAAUGCCCCUUGUUCACAGACCAGUUAGACUUGUCAAGGUCACACAGUCCUUGGCCGACUUGAACUAGAACCCAGGUGUCUCUCCUGCGUCCAAGGUCAACACUCCUCCUCCCACACCGCUGCCACCUCCUGGUGAGUAAAUGUGUAAGUCUGUGAAGGGUCAGGGAUGUGUUUCACCAUGGAACCAUUUCCAUAACAGAAACCACAGGCUGCCAGGCUCACUGACUGCAGCUUUGCACCAUGCACAGCCCUGCUUAGAGCAGCCACAGCGCAGGAAGAAGUGAGUGUGUGGGCAAGUGUGUGAGCACGAGAAGGGAUGUGCACACAUUCAGAAAAAGGAAGUCUUAGAAGAAACAAUUCGAUCUGCUAAUGCUGUUUGGGAUUUUGCUAUGGAGAUUAAGUAACAUACAGACAUGUUCUCUGUUUCCUACCCCUGGUGCAAAACAAAGCCCAGAAUUCUCAUCAGCCCACAGAAUGGCCGAGUCUAUCUAUCUCCACUCAAUUUUUAUAAACAGAGAACAUUAACAUGAUAAUACCAACAUGUAUUUGGUCAAAGUCUAAACACUUUUUUGAUAAAAUACAUUUUAUGUUAAUGUCCAUUCCAUUUCCAAACAUACAUAAAUUUAGAUUUUAAGCUUCAACGUAUAAAAUUUCAGUUUACCUUCCAAUGGAGCAAGCUAGUGAAGCUUCCUCAUUUCACUUGCAGAAGUCAUUCUUGCGGCUUACUGCAUUAAAGUGGAGGUUACGAAACCUGGGCGACACCUGUGUAAUAUACAGCUCACAAUCACCUUUGCUCAUGAAUGGAGCCAAUCAGAACACAGGCAGGGCUGCAAAGGGCAGUAUAUGCUCACCCCAAUGGAUGAAACACUAAGUUGUGUUUUACUAAUAGGCUACUUGGAAGGAAAUUCAUUUUACUUGAAAUUAACCUUUAGUAUGACUUUUCAAGAAAAGAACACAAAGUGGGUACUGAAGCACAGAUGGAAAUCACUGUCCUAUUAUUUUACCCGAUGACUUAAAACUGGAGUACGCUGUUUUACCACGAGCAGCCGAACUCCUCACAGCACCAAUCAAUUAAACAGAAAAUGUCGAGACAAUCAGGUUUACACCGACAUGCCUGGAAGAUAUACAAGACUCCCAUAAGUUCUGUGGCCUCUGCUGCUACUGCUUGUUUUUAAUUCAAAACUUUCACAACCUAACAGGCACAUGUGUGACUGUUUAAACGUACCCACCCCAGAUGCUAGGUUUAAUCUAGUGUUGUAAAGGAGGCAUUCCGCAUCCUAGGUUAACUAAAACCAGGGAUGCAGAAGGGUCCAGGAAUAAUUCCAUGUUAGCAUUACAAAGGAUGUCCCCAGUAAGUAAUUGUUGGCUAAACGAUAACAGCAGUAUUUCCAGUUAUUACAGAAAAACCCCACUGAAGCGGGAGUGAAAUUCAGGUCACUUCUGAGCAAAGCUCAUCACAGAUAUUUUGUGGUCGUUAAAAAGGUAUUUCAUUUUAAUUUGGAUGCUGGGAGCCAGAUGUCCUAUUUCGAAGUGCUAAUGCAAAAUGCUAACCCAGGAGGGGCAGUGACCCCACCUAGGUUACUGUGGGGCUCACUCUCCUUCUCAGGGGAGCCCCCAGAUUUACUGCUGGCUGACCCCCAUCUGGGGGUGGUCCGCCUCUGGCUCCUCUUCUUCCACGUCAGCACUGUACUCUUCAAACGCAUCGUCAUCUGCAUCCGGAAGCCCCA
RNAcentral lists this long non-coding RNA (4392 nucleotides) under Homo sapiens (human). RNAcentral describes it as "PREDICTED lncRNA (TCONS_00242979)". Lineage: Eukaryota; Metazoa; Chordata; Mammalia; Primates; Hominidae. The record is from RNAcentral.